UCAGAUGGUCGGGUAAUUGCUUGUUUUGCAAUAUAAACAAGAGGAAAGUCCGAGCUUCACAGAAACAAAAGACUGGAUAAUCACCAGCUAGGGCGACCUAAGGGAAAGUGCCACAGAAAAUAUACCGCCCCAAAAGGGUAAGGGUGAAAUGGUAAGGUAAGAGCUUACCGCUUUUCUGGCAACAGAAAAGGCAAGGUAAACCCUCUUUGAAGCAAGACCAAGUAAAAUAGAGCCUAUUAACCUCAAAAAUUAAUAAGCAACCCAUGUUUCUGAGGGCUAUUAUGGUAGGUCGCACGAGGUUAUUGGCAACAAUAAUCCCAGACAAAUAAU
RNAcentral lists this RNase P RNA (330 nucleotides) under Alphaproteobacteria bacterium. Its description in RNAcentral is "partial RNase P RNA component class A". It matches the Rfam family "Bacterial RNase P class A", at positions 1 to 316 of the family's 367-position model. From Rfam's summary of the family: Ribonuclease P (RNase P) is a ubiquitous endoribonuclease, found in archaea, bacteria and eukarya as well as chloroplasts and mitochondria. Its best characterised activity is the generation of mature 5'-ends of tRNAs by cleaving the 5'-leader elements of precursor-tRNAs. Lineage: Bacteria; Pseudomonadati; Pseudomonadota; Alphaproteobacteria. The record is from RNAcentral.